AUACGUAGGUCCCGAACGUUGCGCGAAAUUACUGGGCGUAAAGGGUCCGUAGGCGGUCUGGUAAGUGGAAGGUGAAAGCCUGGGGCUCAACUCCAGAAUUGCCUUCCAAACUGCCGGACUUGAGGCAGGGAGAGGUCGGCGGAAUUCCCGGUGUAGCGGUGAAAUGCGUAGAUACCUGGAGGAACACCAGUGGCGAAGGCGGCCGACUGGAACUGUCCUGACGCUGAGGGACGAAAGCCAGGGGAGCGAACCGGAUUAGAAACCCUAGUAGUCC
Molecule: ribosomal RNA, 274 nt
Filed under: uncultured bacterium
Lineage: Bacteria
Description: partial 16S ribosomal RNA
Rfam family: Bacterial small subunit ribosomal RNA
Source: RNAcentral